GACGAACGCUGGCGGCGUGCUUAACACAUGCAAGUCGAACGGAAAGGCCCUGCUCUUGUGGGGUGCUCGAGUGGCGAACGGGUGAGUAACACGUGAGUAACCUGCCCUUGACUUUGGGAUAACUUCAGGAAACUGGGGCUAAUACCGGAUAGGAGCUCCUGCUGCAUGGUGGGGGUUGGAAAGUUUCGGCGGUUGGGGAUGGACUCGCGGCUUAUCAGCUUGUUGGUGGGGUAGUGGCUUACCAAGGCUUUGACGGGUAGCCGGCCUGAGAGGUUGACCGGCCUCAUUGGGCCUGCGAUACGGCCCAGACUCCUACGGGAGGCAGCAGUGGGGAAUAUUGCACAGUGGGGGGAAGCCUGAUGCGGCAACGCCGCGUGCGGGAUGACGGCCUUCGGGUUGUAAACCACUUUCGACUGUGACGAAGCGUGAGUGACGGUAAUGGGUAAAGAAGCACCGGCUAACUACGUG
Molecule: ribosomal RNA, 468 nt
Filed under: uncultured bacterium
Lineage: Bacteria
Description: partial 16S ribosomal RNA
Rfam family: Bacterial small subunit ribosomal RNA
Source: RNAcentral